AGAGUUUGAUCAUGGCUCAGAGCGAACGCUGGCGGCGUGCUUAACACAUGCAAGUCGAACGGGUGUAGCAAUACAUUCGUGGCGAACGGGUGCGUAACACGUGGAUAACCUUCCUUCAGGUGGGGAAUAACCCAGUGAAAAUUGGGCUAAUACCGCAUAACAUUACGAGGGCACAUGCUCUUGUAUUCAAAGGCGCAAGUCGCCGGAAGAGGGAUCCGCGGCCGAUUAGCUAGUUGGCGAGGUAAUGGCUCACCAAGGCAAUGAUCGGUAGCCGGACUGAGAGGUUGACCGGCCACACUGGAACUGAGACACGGUCCAGACUCCUACGGGAGGCAGCAGUGGGGAAUCUUGCGCAAUGGGCGAAAGCCUGACGCAGCAACGCCGCGUGGGGGAUGAAGCUUCUCGGAGUGUAAACCCCUUUCGACCCGGACGAAUGCCCGCAAGGGCUUGACGGUACGGGUAUAAGAAGCCCCGGCUAACUACGUGCCAGCAGCCGCGGUAAAACGUAGGGGGCCAGCGUUGCUCGGAAUUACUGGGCGUAAAGGGUCCGUAGGCGGUGUGACAAGUCGGUAGUGAAAUCUCCGGGCUUAACUCGGAGGCUGCUGCCGAAACUGUUGUGCUAGAGUGUGAGAGAGGCGAGUGGAAUUACGGGUGUAGCGGUGAAAUGCGUAGAUAUCCGUAGGAACAUCCGAGGCGAAAGCGGCUCGCUGGAUCACAACUGACGCUGAGGGACGAAAGCUAGGGGAGCAAACAGGAUUAGAUACCCCAGUAGUCC
This 775-nucleotide ribosomal RNA is filed under the name uncultured bacterium. Its description in RNAcentral is "bacterial SSU rRNA". It matches the Rfam family "Bacterial small subunit ribosomal RNA", at positions 8 to 796 of the family's 1533-position model. The record is from RNAcentral.